This 355-nucleotide transfer-messenger RNA is filed under the name Verrucomicrobiia. Its description in RNAcentral is "UBA2970 sp024761205 Standard tmRNA". It matches the Rfam family "transfer-messenger RNA". Rfam says of the family: Bacterial tmRNA, also known as 10Sa RNA or SsrA, is named for its dual tRNA and mRNA-like properties. Its role is to liberate the mRNA from a stalled ribosome. Lineage: Bacteria; Pseudomonadati; Verrucomicrobiota. The record is from RNAcentral. RNAcentral also lists the same sequence under 1 other name.
GGGGGCGUACUGGUUUCGACUGGGUAGAUACGCCGGAGGUUGCAUGCCGAGGAUGGUUCGUUGGCCUCGUAAAUCAUCGGACCAAAGAAUAACUGCUAACGAAGAAUUAGCUCUCGCGGCCUAAGUGCCCGAGCGUUGUCCCUCUGACACCUGCUAGGUGGGAACAACGCAGCAGCAGGUUAGGCUUUGAUCGGGGAUCGCGCGUGAGAAGCUGAAAAUUUUUCAUGCGGACUAUGUAAGAUCCAUCGCGUCGGGUCGGCAGGAUCGAACAGACAACUCUCUACCUGAAUAAGCAUGUAGAGGCCUCACGGUAGAUUUGCACAGGACGCGGGUUCAACUCCCGCCGCCUCCACCA